Molecule: ribosomal RNA, 450 nt
Filed under: uncultured bacterium
Lineage: Bacteria
Description: partial 16S ribosomal RNA
Rfam family: Bacterial small subunit ribosomal RNA
Source: RNAcentral
GUGGGGAAUCUUCCGCAAUGGACGAAAGUCUGACGGAGCAACGCCGCGUGAGUGAAGAAGGUUUUCGGAUCGUAAAGCUCUUUCGUCAGGGACGAACGUAUUUCUUGUAAAUAAUGAGAGAUAGUGACGGUACCUGAAUAAGAAGCCACGGCUAACUACGUGCCAGCAGCCGCGGUAAUACGUAGGUGGCAAGCGUUGUCCGGAAUUAUUGGGCGUAAAGCGCGCGCAGGCGGGAUAUCAAGUCUGUCUUAAAAGUGCGAGGCUCAACCUCGUGAGGGGACAGAAACUGGUAUUCUUGAGUGUCGGAGAGGAAAGUGGAAUUCCAAGUGUAGCGGUGAAAUGCGUAGAGAUUUGGAAGAACACCAGUGGCGAAGGCGACUUUCUGGACGAUGUCUGACGCUGAGGCGCGAAAGCUAGGGGAGCGAACGGGAUUAGAAACCCCGGUAGUCC